Molecule: ribosomal RNA, 1361 nt
Filed under: uncultured bacterium
Lineage: Bacteria
Description: bacterial SSU rRNA
Rfam family: Bacterial small subunit ribosomal RNA
Source: RNAcentral
AUUGAACGCUGGCGGCAGGCCUAACACAUGCAAGUCGAGCGGUAGCACAGAGAGCUUGCUCUCGGGUGACGAGCGGCGGACGGGUGAGUAAUGUCUGGGAAACUGCCUGAUGGAGGGGGAUAACUACUGGAAACGGUAGCUAAUACCGCAUAACGUCGCAAGACCAAAGUGGGGGACCUUCGGGCCUCAUGCCAUCAGAUGUGCCCAGAUGGGAUUAGCUAGUAGGUGGGGUAAUGGCUCACCUAGGCGACGAUCCCUAGCUGGUCUGAGAGGAUGACCAGCCACACUGGAACUGAGACACGGUCCAGACUCCUACGGGAGGCAGCAGUGGGGAAUAUUGCACAAUGGGCGCAAGCCUGAUGCAGCCAUGCCGCGUGUGUGAAGAAGGCCUUCGGGUUGUAAAGCACUUUCAGCGGGGAGGAAGGCGGUGAGGUUAAUAACCUCAUCGAUUGACGUUACCCGCAGAAGAAGCACCGGCUAACUCCGUGCCAGCAGCCGCGGUAAUACGGAGGGUGCAAGCGUUAAUCGGAAUUACUGGGCGUAAAGCGCACGCAGGCGGUCUGUCAAGUCGGAUGUGAAAUCCCCGGGCUCAACCUGGGAACUGCAUUCGAAACUGGCAGGCUAGAGUCUUGUAGAGGGGGGUAGAAUUCCAGGUGUAGCGGUGAAAUGCGUAGAGAUCUGGAGGAAUACCGGUGGCGAAGGCGGCCCCCUGGACAAAGACUGACGCUCAGGUGCGAAAGCGUGGGGAGCAAACAGGAUUAGAUACCCUGGUAGUCCACGCCGUAAACGAUGUCGAUUUGGAGGUUGUGCCCUUGAGGCGUGGCUUCCGGAGCUAACGCGUUAAAUCGACCGCCUGGGGAGUACGGCCGCAAGGUUAAAACUCAAAUGAAUUGACGGGGGCCCGCACAAGCGGUGGAGCAUGUGGCUUAAUUCGAUGCAACGCGAAGAACCUUACCUGGUCUUGACAUCCACAGAACUUUCCAGAGAUGGAUUGGUGCCUUCGGGAACUGUGAGACAGGUGCUGCAUGGCUGUCGUCAGCUCGUGUUGUGAAAUGUUGGGUUAAGUCCCGCAACGAGCGCAACCCUUAUCCUUUGUUGCCAGCGGUCCGGCCGGGAACUCAAAGGAGACUGCCAGUGAUAAACUGGAGGAAGGUGGGGAUGACGUCAAGUCAUCAUGGCCCUUACGACCAGGGCUACACACGUGCUACAAUGGCAUAUACAAAGAGAAGCGACCUCGCGAGAGCAAGCGGACCUCAUAAAGUAUGUCGUAGUCCGGAUUGGAGUCUGCAACUCGACUCCAUGAAGUCGGAAUCGCUAGUAAUCGUAGAUCAGAAUGCUACGGUGAAUACGUUCCCGGGCCU